This 253-nucleotide ribosomal RNA is filed under the name uncultured bacterium. RNAcentral's name for it is "partial 16S ribosomal RNA". It matches the Rfam family "Bacterial small subunit ribosomal RNA", at positions 524 to 776 of the family's 1533-position model. The record is from RNAcentral.
UACAGAGGUCCCGAGCGUUGUUCGGAUUCACUGGGCGUAAAGGGUGCGUAGGUGGCUUUGCAAGUCUGAUGUGAAAUCUCCGGGCUUAACCCGGAAAUGGCAUUAGAAACUGUGAGGCUUGAGGCUUGAAGGGGGAACUGGAAUUCUCGGUGUAGCAGUGAAAUGCGUAGAGAUCGAGAGGAACACCAGUGGCGAAGGCGAGUUCCUGGACAAGUCCUGACACUGAGGCACGAAAGCCGGGGGAGCAAACAGG